GUAGGUGGCAAGCGUUGUCCGGAAUUAUUGGGCGUAAAGCGCGCGCAGGCGGUUCUUUAAGUCUGAUGUGAAAGCCCACGGGCCCAACCGUGGAGGGUCAUUGGAAACUGGAGAACUUGAGUACAGAAGAGGAAAGCGGAAUUCCACGUGUAGCGGUGAAAUGCGUAGAGAUGUGGAGGAACACCAGUGGCGAAGGCGGCUUUCUGGUCUGUAACUGACGCUGAGGCGCGAAAGCGUGGGGAGCAAACAGGAUUAGAUACCCUGGUAGUCCACGCCGUAAACGAUGAGUGCUAAGUGUUAGGGGGUUUCCGCCCCUUAGUGCUGCAGCUAACGCAUUAAGCACUCCGCCUGGGGAGUACGGCCGCAAAGGCUG
RNAcentral lists this ribosomal RNA (373 nucleotides) under uncultured organism. RNAcentral describes it as "partial 16S ribosomal RNA". It matches the Rfam family "Bacterial small subunit ribosomal RNA", at positions 527 to 896 of the family's 1533-position model. The record is from RNAcentral.